This 528-nucleotide non-coding RNA is filed under the name Pan troglodytes (chimpanzee). Lineage: Eukaryota; Metazoa; Chordata; Mammalia; Primates; Hominidae. RNAcentral also lists the same sequence under 1 other name. The record is from RNAcentral.
AGGUAAGUGCUGAUGCUGCUGCUUUGAGGGCCACACACCUUGAGGAGUAGGAAGAGUACUCAUACUGGAAGAGUAUUCAGCACGGACUGGAAUCCUGCAUACAUAUCUGAGCUCUGUGUUCUGUAGAGAUGGGGUUUCACCAUGUUGCCCAGGCUGGUCUCAAACUCCUGAGCUCAGGCCAUCUGCCCGCCUCGGCCUCCCAAAGUGCUAGGAUUACAGAAGGUGCCUGCUUCCCCUUCACCUUCCACCAUGAUUGUAAGUUUCCUGAGGCCUCCCCAGACAUGUGGAACUGUGAGUCAAUUAAAUCUCUUUUCUUUAUAAAUUACCCAGUCUCAGGUAGUAUCUUUAUAGCGGUAUAAAAACAGACUAAUACAAACAGGUAGCUCUAAAUUGUGAGUUUUUCUUAACUCCUUUGAUCUUCUGUGAUAGCGAUUUUUCACAUUUCACACUUCCCUAAUGCCAAAAAUCCACCUCCAGCAGCUGUUUUGCCUCUUUCUUAUCCUGCCCCUUGGAAGAAUGUCAUCAUUA